GGCCUCAUAGUUCAGCUGGUAGAGCGUGCGCUUACAGGUCGUAGGCGGCGUCCGUGCGUGGGUUCGAAUCCAACCGAGGCUG
Molecule: transfer RNA, 82 nt
Filed under: Echinostoma caproni
Lineage: Eukaryota; Metazoa; Platyhelminthes; Trematoda; Plagiorchiida; Echinostomatidae
Rfam family: tRNA
About the family: Transfer RNA (tRNA) molecules are approximately 80 nucleotides in length. Their secondary structure includes four short double-helical elements and three loops (D, anti-codon, and T loops).
Source: Rfam by way of RNAcentral